UAGGGAAUCUUCCGCAAUGGGCGAAAGCUUGACGGAGCAACGCCGCGUGAGUGAUGAAGGUCUUCGGAUCGUAAAACUCUGUUAUUAGGGAAGAACAAAUGUGUAAGUAACUAUGCACGUCUUGACGGUACCUAAUCAGAAAGCCACGGCUAACUACGUGCCAGCAGCCGCGGUAAUACGUAGGUGGCAAGCGUUAUCCGGAAUUAUUGGGCGUAAAGCGCGCGUAGGCGGUUUUUUAAGUCUGAUGUGAAAGCCCACGGCUCAACCGUGGAGGGUCAUUGGAAACUGGAAAACUUGAGUGCAGAAGAGGAAAGUGGAAUUCCAUGUGUAGCGGUGAAAUGCGCAGAGAUAUGGAGGAACACCAGUGGCGAAGGCGACUCUCUGGUCUGUAACUGACGCUGAGGCUCGAAAGCGUGGGUAGCAAACAGG
Molecule: ribosomal RNA, 429 nt
Filed under: Bacteroidota bacterium
Lineage: Bacteria; Pseudomonadati; Bacteroidota
Description: Bacteroidetes bacterium partial 16S ribosomal RNA
Rfam family: Bacterial small subunit ribosomal RNA
Source: RNAcentral